GCACAACGCGAAGAACCUUACCUAGGCUUGCCAUGCAAUUGGACCGGGGUGGAAGCUCCCUUUGUAGCAAUACACAGUUGCACAGGUGCUGCAUGGCUGUCGUCAGCUCGUGUCGUGAGAUGUUGGGUUAAGUCCUGCAACGAGCGCAACCCCUAUUGAUUGUUACUCUGCUUUGCAGAGCUCUCUAUCAAAACUGCCUCGCGAAAACGGGGAGGAAGGCGGGGAUGACGUCAAGUCAGCAUGGCCCUUACGCCUAGGGCUGCACACGUACUACAAUGCUCAGUACAAUUUGAACCCGGUCCCGCAAGGGUUCGGAAAUCAUGAAAACUGAUCUCAGUUCGGAUUGCGGGCUGCAACUCGCCCGCAUGAAGCUGGAAUCGCUAGUAAUGGCGCAUCAGCUACGGCGCCGUGAAUACGUUCCCCGGGGUCUUGUACACACCGAGUCGUGGGGGGGAGGGCAAGGGGCACACAGGGGGGGAUA
This 481-nucleotide ribosomal RNA is filed under the name uncultured bacterium. RNAcentral's name for it is "bacterial SSU rRNA". It matches the Rfam family "Bacterial small subunit ribosomal RNA", at positions 954 to 1387 of the family's 1533-position model. The record is from RNAcentral.